RNAcentral lists this ribosomal RNA (403 nucleotides) under uncultured bacterium. RNAcentral's name for it is "partial 16S ribosomal RNA". It matches the Rfam family "Bacterial small subunit ribosomal RNA", at positions 28 to 526 of the family's 1533-position model. The record is from RNAcentral.
GACGAACGCUGGCGGCGUGCCUAAUACAUGCAAGUCGAACGCAGUGGGGACGGGUGAUUAACACGUGGGUAACCUCCCAUCAGAGGGGAUAACACUUGGAAACAGGUGCUAAACCGAUACUGAUGGAUGGACCCGCGGUGCAUUAGCUAGUUGGUGAGGUAACGGCGAACCAAGGCCACGAUGCAUAGCCGCCGUGAGAGGGAGAUAGGCCAAACUGGGACUGAGACACGGCCCAGACUCCUACGGGAGGCAGCAGUAGGGAAUCUUCGACAAUGGACGAAAGUAUGACCGAGCAACGACGCGUGAGUGAAGAAGGUUUUCGGAUCGUAAAGCUCUGUUGUUAGAGAAGCGGUAUCUAACCAGAAAGCCACGGCUAACUACGUGCCAGCAGCCGCGGUAAUUC